RNAcentral lists this ribosomal RNA (250 nucleotides) under uncultured prokaryote. Its description in RNAcentral is "partial 16S ribosomal RNA". It matches the Rfam family "Bacterial small subunit ribosomal RNA", at positions 524 to 774 of the family's 1533-position model. The record is from RNAcentral.
UACGUAGGGGGCAAGCGUUAUCCGGAUUCAUUGGGCGUAAAGAGUAUGUAGGCGGUUUAUUAAGUCUAGAAUGAAAGCCCGAGGCUUAACCUCGGUUAGUUUUAGAAACUGGUAAACUAGAGUGCGGUAGAGGCAAAUGGAAUUCCUAGUGUAGCGGUGAAAUGCGUAGAUAUUAGGAGGAACAUCAGUGGCGAAGGCGAUUUGCUGGGCCGUUACUGACGCUGAGAUACGAAAGCGUGGGGAGCAAAUA